Tarenaya hassleriana is the source of this 587-nucleotide long non-coding RNA. RefSeq lists it as uncharacterized. Lineage: Eukaryota; Viridiplantae; Streptophyta; Magnoliopsida; Brassicales; Cleomaceae. The transcript is spliced from 4 exons. The record is from RefSeq and is a predicted model, not a curated record.
UUGCGUGCGAUUCGGCGACCACAGGAUCGCCUUAAGCCUUCGCCGUCUCGUUCUCGAUCAUCGUUUCGCGUACUAUCUGAAAAAGAAGAAGAAGAUGUUUUCCUCUCGGUUUCCUCUGUUUUCUUGGCAUCCAAACACCGGAUGACAAGAAACAGCCCCCGAAUUUUACCGAUUUAUGACCUCGAUCGGGUUCUGCGAUGAAAUCCUAGCAGUCGAUUCCGUCUCGGUACGAUGAAGAGAGAACGGGCAGAGAAUUGAUUUGCAUCUGCACUCCCAUAUCGAGAUUGCUUCGCAAUUGAUUUCUAAUGGCGUUCCGAUACCGCCAUUGCUCCCAAGUUGUCCUCCUUUUUUCUUUUUCGGUGGAAAACUGAACUAUUUGUUUAGCGGGAAAGCUGAAGCUGGAGACUCCUAGUGGCUUAUAGAAAAGAAGAAAAAAGAUUGCUUACUAUAAAGAGCUUUCAUGAAAACAAUAUCUCGGAGCAAUUACUUAAAUGAGAGCUAGAUAGGGCUUCUUUCCAUUCACACUUGAAAGUAAACAUAUCAGAGCAAACACAGACAUCUAGGCUGACUGCAGAUGAGAUGGUUAU